AAGGAAGAUCAUCAUGUUCCUGCUUCCUGCCAUCUGCCAUUUCGAUUUGAUCCCGAGUCGAGGGAAGUUGAAGCGGCAGCGACCUGCGACGAGCAGCAAGCCAGGCAACGAUGAAACGUGGUGCGGGCACGUGCGGGAUUCGAGGUUUCCACGACGAGGAACAACGAGGAAUUGCAAGAGAUAAAAGAAUCCUAACGAUAUCGACACGCUUGAGAGGAUAUUAUAACGACAGGAUUACGAUGCCAAGGUGAAUUCCGCAUUCUGUUAAACAAAUUGGGAGAAAAGAAAUGUAUCUGCGUGGAUGAAAAUAAUGGCAAAAGUCUAGCGAUGGACGGUGUAAGUAUGUGUAUAAGUAUACGUAAACUGUACAAAAGAGUACAUCAAAAACUAAUGAGACUGAUUUGCAUAAUGUUUUUUUUUUUUUUUUUUUUUUAAUUAAUCAUAUGUAAUUAGAAAUUAAAUAAAAAAUGUUUCCGCACGUCUUACAGUUAAUAACGUCAGUUUUGUAUUUUAAAUAUAACAAAAGGAAUUGGACAAGUGCAUUGCGAUGCAGGGAAAAUACUUUCAGAUUCGUUGAAAGAUUAAAUAAAUAUUUUAUUAAAAAUUAAAUUUAUCUCGUUAUCCUUUGAUACACUCUUGUACAUAUAUAAUAAUAACUGUUGCUGCGUGUUACAAUCAAUAUAUUAUGUGUUUGCAUAAUAAAUAUUAAAGAUGCA
Temnothorax curvispinosus is the source of this 716-nucleotide long non-coding RNA. RefSeq lists it as uncharacterized. The transcript is spliced from 3 exons. The record is from RefSeq and is a predicted model, not a curated record. NCBI's taxonomy places the organism in Eukaryota, Metazoa, Arthropoda, Insecta, Hymenoptera, Formicidae.